This 728-nucleotide small RNA is filed under the name Pan troglodytes (chimpanzee). RNAcentral describes it as "processed transcript". Lineage: Eukaryota; Metazoa; Chordata; Mammalia; Primates; Hominidae. The record is from RNAcentral.
GUCUCAUCAGAAAAUUGAAGACUCCGAAGAAAGCAGUGAUGAAAUACUUGUGCGUCUAACAUCUGCGGUGCAGAGAGAGCUAGCAGCUGUUAUUGCUUUGAAAGCAAGGAAGUCUGCAAUUGAACAAGAUGAAGAAAACAAUGACAAACGUGUAGCUGUAACAGAAGCCGAAAGUGUUCCAGAUUCUCAGGCAGGGGUGAUGUGCAAGCUCCAGGAAAGAGAUGAAAUCGGACGAAUUGAACUAGUCCAGAAGCUGGCAAAAGAAAACUAUCAGUUUUUGCAGACGGACAAAAAAGAACAGGAGAAGUCUGAACACCAAGAUGAUGAAGUGACGACUGUUCAGGUUAAAGAGCAAGACCAGAGCGUCCUGGUGCUGAAGAAAGUGCAGUGCUGUGGCCCAGCCCCCACAGCUGGGAGUGCGGAGAGCCAUUGGAGAUAUGUGGUGGUGUCCGGGACCCCGGAGAAGAUUUUGGAGCACCUUUUGAAUGACUUGCACCUGGAAGAAGUCCAGGACAAAGAAACAGUUAUACCAACCCCUGGGAUCACAUGUGUCACUUCUGCCAUGUGCUCACAAAGCCAAGCGGACCAGGACUUCAUGGCUUGACUCUCCUAGCACCAACCUAAGUGGGGAAGAAGGGGUUGGUUGGGGUCACCUCACCUAAUUCCUGCUCAUUUCCUUAGAGUUUGGGGGAGAGACACAAAUGAAACUUUAGAGUUUUGCAGAGACA